CUUGGUAGGCUUAACUGCUUGAGAGAAUUAACUACCGGUGGUUUCUCAGAAGAGCUGCAAGAAUUCCCAUGGCCCAGUUCCAUUCAAUAUCUCAGUGCCUCCAUUCUAUAUCUAAAACUGAUUGGUUGGGAAAAGCUAAAGAGUCUUCCUCACAAACUUCAGUUCUUCACUGCCCUCGAAGAAUGAAGAUAGAAAGGUUUAAAGGAACAGAAGCCUUUCCCGAGUGGUUGGGAAAUCUCUCUUCUCUAAAGCGUCUAUGUUUGCAUGGUUUUUAUUGGAAAUCAUCUAUAUUUAUGGAAAGUCAAAGAUAUGGGUAUCAAAUAAAGUUAAAGAUAUGUGUAUCAAAUAUCGGAAAGUCAAAGAUAUGGGUAUCGAGAUAUUGGCAUAAGAAAUCUGAGAUAUUUGCAAUAUUUGGUCCCUAAUUGUAAAGUGACUUUGCAAGUUGAUCCCUGAACCUCAACUAUAAAUAGGCAUAAUCAUCUCUCAUUCUGUAUCCCAUAUUUUCCAUUCUCUACUUAAGGCAUUGUUAUCUCUCUCUCUUUGUAAAUUCUCACUUAUAUUUUGGAGUGAAAUAUAUUUGGUAGUGCCCGAGAAUGUAGGCAAAAUUUGUUGAACCUCGUUAAAUACUUGUGUUCUUUAUAGUAUUAUUCUGCAUGAAUUGUGAGUGUGAUUGUAGUGAUUUAUUGUGCUAUUAAAUUACGAUUGAGGGAUAUUCUGGCUAAGAAAGACUUGGUACUUAAGCGAUCCUUGUGAUCCACCUCUCUUUCCUGGGAAUUGAACUUAGUGUGAUUUUUUAGUACAAUAAUUUUACUCUUUUACACGCUUCCGCACAACAAUUGGUAUCAGAGCUAGAUUCGUACUUGGGGAAUACAAUCGUUCACUGCACUGUUCACUUACAGUAGUUGGGAUUGAGGAGAAAAAUAGAAAAGGUAUCGUCAUCAGCAAAGACUACUGUGACCAAUGCAAAGUUUGAAGUAGAGAAAUUUGAUGGUACCAAUAAUUUUGGUAUGUGGCAAUGUGAGAUCCUGGAUGUCUUAUGUCAGCAAGAGCUGGAUAUAGCCCUUGAAGAAAAACCUGAAAAGAUGGAUGACAAGAAGUGGGCUAAGAUCAAUAGAUAGGCAUGUGGAACAAUUCGCCUAUGUUUGGCCAAAAAGCAGAAGUACUCUGUCAUGAGGGAGACAUCAGCGAAGAAGUUGUGGGAUACACUGGAAGAAAAGUUUCUAACAAAAAGUCUUAAAAAUAAGCUUUAUAUGAAAAAGAAACUUUAUCGAUUCACGUAUGCACCCGGUAUGUUAAUGAAUAACCAUGUGAACUCAUUCAAUAAAAUUUUAGUAGACUUGCUAAAUUUGGAUGAGAAAUUUGAAGAUGAAGACAAUGCAUUAUUGUUGUUGAAUUCUCUUCCUAAUGAAUAUGAUCAUCUUACCACCACAUUGCUUCAUGGGAAGGAUACGAUCACAUUUGAUGCAGUCUGUAGUGCGUUGUAUAGAUCUGAGACUCGAAAGAAAGAUAAAAAAGAUCACAGAGAUACAACUACAGAAGUCUUAACAGUAAGAGGUCGUUCGCACAACAACAAAUCUGGUAGAAGGAGUAAGUCUAAAGGGAUACCUGCCAAAGAUGAAUGUGCUUUUUGUCGUGAGAAAGGGCAUUGGAAAAAGAAUUGUCCUAAGUUACAAAAAGGUAAGGCUAUUUCUGAUGCAUGUGUAGCGGAGCAUGAUGAGGAGUCAGACUUUAGCUUGGUUGGCAUUGCAAUGACAUGUCAUACAGAUAGUGGAUUUUGGAUUCGGGAUGUACUUAUCAUAUAUGUCCUAAUAAGGACUGGUUUUCUAGUCUUAAAGAACUAGAAGGUGGAGUUUUUUUAUGGGCAAUGACAGCGCUUGUAAGAUAAUGGUAGUAGGUACAAUCCAAUUGAAGAAUCACGACAACUGAAUUCAAGUCUUGACAGAUGUUCGCUACAUACCUAGCUUGAAGAAAAAUGUCAUCUCAUUAGGGGUCCUAGAAUCUAAAUGGCUCACAAUCACUUUGAGAGAUGGAUUACUAAAGGUAGUAACUGGGGUAUUGAUAGUGAUGAAAGGCACAAUAAGGAAUAAUCUGUACUAUUUAAAUGGAAGUACAGUUAUUGGAUCAACAUCAACAGCUUCUGCGAAAGAUGCAGAUUCAGAGGCUACUAGGUUAUGGCAUAUGCGAUUGGGACAUGCUGGUGAAAAAGCUUUGCAGAGUUUGACGAAGCAAGGCUUGUUGAAAGGUGAAAAUUCUUGCAAAUUGGAAUUCUGUGAAUAUUGUGUUCUGGGCAAGCAGACGAGGAUAAAAUUUGGUUCAGCAAUUCACAAUACAAAAGGAAUUCUGGAUUAUGUUCAUAGUGAUGUAUGGGGACCUACUAAAGUGGCUUCUUAAGGAGGUAUGCACUAUUUUGUUACUUUUGUUGAUGAUUAUUCAAGAAAAGUAUGGGUGUAUCUAAUGAAAAGAAAAAAUGAAGUUUUGGAUGUAUUUCUGAAAUGGAAGAAGAUGGUGGAGACUCAGACAGGUCGAAAGGUCAAACGACUUAGAUCAGACAAUGGUACUGAGUACAAGAAUAAUCCAUUUUUACAAGUAUGUCAAGAUGAGGGCAUUGUGCGACACUUCACUGUUUGAGAUACACCACAACAGAAUGGGGUGGCAAAACGUAUGAAUCGGACUAUACUGGAGAAAGUUCGAUGUAUGUUGUCCAAUGCUGGAAUGGGCAAGAAAUUUUGGGCUGAGGCAGUUACAUAUGCAUGCCAUCUAAUUAACCGGUUGCCAUCAGUUGCAAUAAAUGGAAAAACUCCUAUGGAGAGGUGGGCUGGUAAACCUGCUACUGAUUAUAAUUCUUUACAUGUUUUUGAUUCCACUGCAUAUUAUCAUGUAAAAGAAUCUAAGUUAAAACCAAGAGCAAAGAAAAUAUUAUUCAUGGGUAUAACCGGUGGAGUAAAAGGAUAUCGUCUUUGGAGUCCUGAUACAAGAAAGAUUGUUUUUAGUAGAGAUGUGACUUUUGAUGAAUCAACCAUGAUGAAGAACAAGGAUUCACAAAAGGAUAACAAAACCAGUGGCACUUUGCAGCAGGUGGAGCUUGAAAAGGUUAAUAAUGAUCCAGCUAAUAUUGAAGGAACAAAUGAUGAAGAAGUUUCGACCCAAGAACUUCUACAGCAACAUGAUUCAAUUGCAUAUAGGAGGCCAAGAAGAGAGAUUCGUAUGCCUGCUCGCUUUGAUGAUAUGGUGGCCUAUGCACUUUCGAUUGCAGAUGAUGAUGUUCCUUCUACUUACACAGAAGUAAAAAGUAACCCUGAUGGUGUAAAGUGGAAGCAAGCUAUGAAUGAAUAAAUGCAAUCACUUCAUAAAAAUAGGACUUGGGAGUUGGUGACACUACCCAAAGGAAAGAAGGCAAUUGGAUGCAAAUGGGUAUAUGCAAAGAAAGAAGGAUUUCCUGGUAAAAAUGAAGUUCAAUACAAGGCUAGAUUGGUAGCAAAAGGUUACGCUCAAAAAGAAAGAAUAGACUACAAUAAAGUGUUUUCUCCAGUUGUGAAGCAUUCGUCUAUUCGGAUUUUGCUAGCCUUGGUUGCGCAAUAUGAUCUUGAACUAGUUCAGCUCGAUGUGAAGACCGCAUUUUUACACGGUGAUUUGGAAGAGGAAAUCUAUAUGACUCAGCCAGAUGGAUUCAAGGUUGCUGAUAAAGAAAAUAGGGUUUGCAAACUGACAAAGUCGUUUUAUGGAUUGAAACAAUCUCCGAGGCAGUGGUACAAGCGAUUUGAUCAGUUCAUGAAAGGGCAAAGGUACACAAGAAGUAAUUUUGAUCAUUACGAGUAUUUUCAGAAGCUACAAGAAGGAUUUUUCGUAUACUUGCUAUUAUAUGUUGAUGAUAUGUUGAUAGCAUCUAAUAGUAAAGUUGAAAUUGAAAGAUUUAAGACUCAACUCAACCUUGAGUUUGAGAUGAAAGAUCUAGGUGAAGCUAAGAAGAUUCUUGUCAUGGAAAUAUAUAAGGAUAGAGCUCAUGGUAGAGUUAGUUUGUCUCAGAAGCAAUAUUUGAAGAAGGUACUACAGAAGUUUGGAAUAAACGAGCAGACAAAAGCUGUAAGUACCCCGUUGGCUUCUCAUUUCAAGCUUUCUGCACAACUAUCUCCUUCGACGAAUACGGAACAAGAAUACAUGUUACAAGUUUCAUAUUCUAAUGCAGUAGUUAGCUUGAUGUAUGCAAUGGUGUGUACAAGACCUAACAUUUCACAGGCAGUUAGUAUAGUGAAUAGGUAUAUGCAUAAUCCUGAAAAAGGACAUUGGCAAGCUGUGAAAUGGAUUCUGCGGUAUAUUCAAAAUACCAUGGAUAUUGGAUUACUGUUCAAGCAGGAUACUACACUUGGUAAAGGUGUUAUUGGGUACGUUGAUUCUGAUUAUGCCGGUGAUUUGGACAAACUAAGAUCAACAACUGGUUAUGUGUUUACACUUGCUGGAGGACCAAUAAGUUGGAAGUCUACACUACAGUCUACAGUUGCGUUGUCAACCACAGAAGCUGAAUACAUGGCUGUAACAGAGGCUGUAAAGGAAGCUAUUUGGUUACAAUGUAUGGUUAAAACUUUGGAAUUGGUUUAGGAACAUAUUAACGUGUAUUGUGAUAGUCAAAGUGCUAUUCAUUUAGCAAAGAAUCAAGUCUAUCAUGCACGUACAAAGCAUAUCGACGUACGUUUCCAUUUUGUGCGGAAAAUUAUUGAUAAGGGGAAAAUUCACCUUCAGAAGAUUAAGACUGCAGAUAAUCCCGCAGAUAUGAUGACCAAGAUGGUAACAACAAUCAAGUUCAAACAUUGUUUGAACUUGAUCAAUAUUCUGCAUGUUUAACAGUUGAAGAAGGCGCUAUCAAGUGUUGUUGACAAAGAUAGAGAGAAUUGUGUGAAGAUAAGAUUAUUCGAAUCAAAUCUUCAAGAUGAAGAUUAUUAGAAAUCAUCCAUAUUUAUGGAAAGUCAAAGAUAUGGGUAUCAAAUGAAGUCAAAGAUAUGGGUAUCAAAUAAAGUCAAAAAUAUGGGUAUUAAAUAUUAGAAAGUCAAAGAUAUCGGUAUCGAGAUAUUGGCAUAAGAAAUCUGAGAUAUUCGCAAUAUUUGGUCCCUAAUUGUAAAGUGACUUUGCAAGUUGAUCCCUGAACCUCAACUAUAAAUAGGCAUAACCAUCUCUCAUUCUGUAUCCCAUAUUUUGCCAUUCUCUACUUAAGGCAUUGUUCUCUCUCUCUCUCUCUUUGUAAAUUCUCACUUGUAUUUUGGAGUGAAAUAUAUUUGGUAGUGUCCGAGGACGUAGGCAAAAUUUGCUGAACCUCGUUAAAUACUUGUGUUCUUUAUAGUAUUAUUCUGCAUGAAUUGUGAGUGUGAUUGUAGUGAUUUGUUGUGCUAUUAAAUUACGAUUGAGGGAUAUUCUGGCUAGGAAAGACUUGGUACUUAAGCGAUCCUUGUGAUCCACCUCUCUUUCUUGGGAAUUGAACUUAGUUUGAUUUUUUAGUACAAUAAUUUUACUCUUUUACACGCUUCCGCACAACAGUUUUAGAAAGCUAAAGAGUCCUCCUCACCAUCUUCAACUCCCCACUGCCCUUGAAGAGUUGACAUUCAGGGGUUUCAUGAAAUAGAAGCCUUGCCAGACUCGUUCAGAAAUCUCUCUUCCCUAAGGUAUCUGUGUAUCCAUUCAUGCAAUAAGCUCAUGUACCUGCCUUUUGUAGAUGUUAUGCAAAGCCUCUCCAAAUUAAAACGCAAAAACAUUCUAGAUUGUCCUCAAUUAGAGACAAGAUGUGAGCGGGAGAGUGGCCCUAAAUGGUCCAAGAUUUCCCACAUUCCACGUAUAUCUAUUAAUCUUCGGAUGUAAGUUCAGUAAUACCCUUUGUUCUUCUCACCCUCAGCCACUUGAUUUAGUCUCAUAUAAAGCCUUGUUUUAAUUUUUUUUUUUGGCUUUUGUGGCAUAAUGUUGCAGUAUUGUGAUUGGGCAUGGAUACCUUUGAGACUAUCCGUUUGAGAACCAAAUUAUGAAUUGAAUGUGUGGAUACAAAAGUAAGUUGUGGUUCUAUUUCCUUUCCAAGAAAAUUAUGAUAUGAUGCCUUUAGAUUUUGCCUUGAUUAAAAAUUCCAUGGAUAUUAUAAGUCCCUUUUCUCAUAUCUUAUAUUUUUAACUUAAAUUUUGAUAAAGGUUUCAUGGAUAUCAUAUUUUUCUUCUUGUCUUUCCUACAAAAAUAUAUCAUUGCUGCCCUCUCUUACAAACUUCUCAAAUCAUAUUGUGACAUAUUUAAGGUAACUGGUGUAUGACCUUUGAGAAUAACUUCGACUAGCUUUAUUAGGAAAUUUCUUUUCUUUUCAAACUUUUAUUGUUUUGUAUUUGAGAAUCAUAGAUCAUGCAACCAAUAAAGACCAGCUUUGAAUUGCCAUUGUGAUUGGUACUUUUGUGAUUGACAACAAAUUCACCUUUCUUUGGAUUCUAAUCAGAAGCUUGUAUCUUGUCUUGCAUUGCAUUUGUGUCUCAUUUCAAGAACUGAUGUCAAGUUGUGAUCAAUGGAGGAAGUUUCUUGCAAGACUUUGAUUUCCUUCUCAUGCAAUUUAUGACGCUUCAUUCUAUGAUUAUCUUUGCAAUUUACAGACUGGCUUUUGAGUGUUGAUUUGAUAAAGAUUUAGUGAAUAUGGUAAGUCUCUUUCUAUAUAUAGUCAUUUGCAAUGAACAACUAAAUUGAAUAACAUAACUCCAUAAAACAUUCAUUUAGUUUGGAACUACAAGUCUCUUAUAUUUCUUUGUUUAUUCUUUCUUUCUGCUAUUUUAUUGCUUCUAAUUGAAGGACGGAUUUUCAUGUUUUAACCUUUUGUUAAAACCAGUACUGCUUAUGUUCCAUGAAUUUUCCAGUAUCCACUCAUGAACUUUCUGAAUUCUCUUUGGAUAUGAAGGGAGAUGCUGAUAUGGCCGGAGUCAGAGUGAAUUGUUCUCCUUUUCAACAUUGAAGAGCUAUAAUAUAAAAGACAGCUUUGGUUCACCAAUUCAGGGGUUUAUCUGAUGUCUGUCUGAGCUGAUUUUUGGACAAUGGCUAAUAGCCUCGAGGAUUUCGAUUGUGCAAGGUUGGAUUUUUCAUUCGGAUUUGUAUCUUUUGGUUUUUCAUUUUCAAUGUUAGUCAUAUUUGGGUGAUAUCCUCUACUUUCCAGCGAAUAGUUUUGUUGGAGUCGUAUGCUUUUUAUUGUGGUUUUUACCCUCAACCCCUUGCUUCAAGGGGGUUUUCCAUGUAAAAGAUCACAUGUUUUGUUUAAUUGGUUCCUUACGAUUAUUGAGUUUUAUUUUGUGCAAUUAAGUUUACUAUAAAUAUUAAUUGAUAUAAAAAACAGUAUAAGUUUUUAUGCAGAUAGUCUUAAAUUUGUAAAUGCUCCUAAAAAUUUAACUCAUGAGAUCCUGAUUAAAAGUGCUCACAUGAACGGCGGCUUAACAUUUGGAUUGAGUUAUUAUACUGUAUUAAUAUAACUUAUAUUUAUCCAAGUUGGGUUGAAUUCGAAAUAUUAGUCUAAUUUUUUCUAACUCAUUCAUAUUUCUAAAUGCCCCAAGCUCACCCUUAUGUUUAAAGUUUAAACCUCCAUUCACAUAAUGAUUUAUGUUUAAUUAAUUCAUUUGACCUUAUCAAAUAGUAAUACUUCAAGUUUCAACUUGAUUAUUAUAUUUUCUCAAAGGCUUUUUGGAUCCACUAAUUGAGUUUAGCUUAAUUUUGGCUCACUUAAUCAAUUAUUUAUUUCAUGGGUCAGACCAAGAAUUUUGCUGCAAAAUCUUGCACAUCCAAAAUUUUGAUAUUACAAAUCAAAGAAAAUGAUUAAUCCAACUUCCACAAAUGACUAAUUCAAGUUUGAAACUUAUCACACGUAAUUAAAAUGUGGAUUUUCAGUUCUCAACGUAAAUUAUUGUUAUGGGUUGAUUUUAGUUUAAUUAAUUAGUUUAUAGUUUGAAUUUGUUCUAGCUACUAAUUUGUUCUAUAAUAAUUUGGUGAUACAUAUAUAUCAUUUUUCUUGUGUUUUAUUUUGUGUGAGCUUUUAAGUCCCGUGGUUUUUACCCUUUGCUUUAAUAGGUUUUUCAUGUAAAAAAUUACAUAUCUCAUUUAAUUUGUUCCUUACAAUUAUUUUGUUUUAUUUUGAGCUGAUCCAUGAUAUAUUAUACGUUUGCCAUAAUUAUUAAUUAAUAUUUAUUAAGAAUAAAAGAACACCAAUUAUAGAUCUAAACAAUGUUGAAUGUAUUCGAUUUCAUCCCAUCAAAAUUCAAAGAUUGCCCCACAUUUCAGAUUUACAUCUUUGACUGCAUUUUUUGUUAGUUAUAUGAAGUAGCGAUGUUGUUAAAUGUAUAGUAGUAUUGUUGGGAAGAUCACAAAUUUUUUUUACAAUAUUUUGGAUUGUAUAUUAGUCUUUUUAUUGAAAAACGAAUAAAUUAAUCCUUCAAAAAGUUAUAAAAUGAUCACUAAAUUAUUUGAGUUUCCGUUUCAGUUAAUGGGCAAUUAAAUUGUUAUUGUAUGGCAUUAUCUGUUUGCGUUCCUUACACUAAUCAAAAGCUCUCGUUUUUCUUAUUUUUUAUAGUUCAAAUUUUCAUUACAAAUUUACAAAUCAAAAUUCAAACAAUUUUUUAUUUUUUUUAUAUUUUUGACAUUGAUUGUUAGAUUGUAGUUCACUAGCUAAACUUUAAGAAAAAAACUUAACAACCUACUAACUAAAUAAAAACUUUCGAAUAAUUUAGUGAUUUAAAUAAAAACUUUUGAAUAGUUUAAUGGUCAUUUUGUAACUUUAUGAGGUUAGGUAACCAAAAUAUAAACUUAAUAAUAGUUUAGUGACCUUAAGUGUAGUUUACCCUUAAUAUAAUAUUAUGUUAAAUUCAAGUUAAUUUUUACAUAAAAAUCAAGCUUACUCUUAAAAUGUUCUUUUUUUGGAAAACAACUUAUGUUUUUGAAAAGAGGAAUUCGAUUUCUAGAAAAAAAUGAUUUAAUUUUUAUUGACUUGUAUCUCAUUUUUUGUUUAUCAAAUUAUUUUUUAUGAAACAAAUUUGAAAAAUAUAAAAAAAAAAUCUAUAAAUCAUUUUUCAAGAAGUAGAGACAACUUAAAUUUGAAAGGAAACUCAGUAUUAGAGGUGCUCAUGGGCCGGGUUCGUGCCGGGCCCAGAAAAAAUUUUAGCCCGUGUCCUAGGCCUCGGCCCGGCCCGGCCUGAAAUAUGGGUUUGAAUUUUUGUCCAGGCCCGGGGAAAAAAUCCUAAGCCCGAGCCUGGCCCGGCCUAGUCCACUUUUUAAAUAAAUACCAAAAAUUUAUUUUAAAAAUAAAAAAAUUUAAAAAAAUAUUUUAAAAAUAUUUUAAAAUUAAAAAAAAUAAAAAUAUAUUUAUUAUAUUCGGGCCAGGCCCAGGCUCGGGCCAAAAAAGUUGUGCUCGAGGCCAGAUCCGUUUUCUAAACGGGCCUCAUUUUUUUGCCCAAACCCAUAUUUCGGGCCUAUAUUUUUACCCAAAUUCUCCAAUAUUUCGGGCGAGCCGUCGCGCCAACCGGGCCGCCUGGCCCAUGAGCACCUCUACUCAGCAUAUAAUAUUUGCACAAAAUGACACUUAAAACUUGAAAAGUCUCAUUCUUAAUGUCUCUAUCAUACCUUCAGAUAUACAUGGGCCGAACCGAAUCAAGGCUCAACUUAAAAAAAGUCAAACCCGGUUCCAAGCAUCUCAUACCCAAUAAGCCUAUAUUACGGUUUGAAUAAUAAUAUUUUUUAAAACACACUUUUAUAUUAAUAUUUAUAUAUUUUUAUAAUUAAAAAUCAUUUAACUCAAGUUAGAGAGAUCAAGGGUGGGUUUGUAUGGGCGAUUAAGUGCGGUGCAGUACGUUUAGCCUACUUUUUGUCUCACACUACAGUGUUGUUACAGUAUCUAAUCUCACCGCUACCACUGUUUUUACAUUAACCGCAGGUAAACGCACUGCCUAUCCAAACUCACUCCAAGUUAGGGAAACUUUUUUAUCCAAAUUAAAUCAAAGUGAUCAAAUCGGGUGGAUCAUCCAAUUCCUCAACAUGUCUAAUCAUUCAUCAUGAGUCAUGAUUAGAGGUGUUUAUAGGUGAGUUUAGAUAUGAUAUUAACACAUUUUAUACUUACCAAACGUAAUUCAAUUUAAGAAAUGAGUCUAAAAUUUUGCUCAAGUUUACUAAUAUUAAUAAAUUACUAAUUCAAAUCCAUUUUAAGCUUGUACAUAUUAAUUUAAAAAAUAAAAUACAUUUAUAUUAUUUUUAAUUUAAUAUUUAUUAAAAUUAUAUAUAUUCAUCUUAACAUUUUCUAAUGUUUACAUUAUAAUAUUAUUAUUUAUUAUUAUAAAUUUAAUUUUUAUGUAUUAUAAAUUAUAUAAUAUAUGAAAAUAGUAUAAUAUAAAAUAUUAUAAAUCUUUAAAAACAAAUAAAAUUAAAUCGAAUUUUAUAUAUUUAAGUCUGAACUCGAUUUAUAUUUUAAACAAAAUUAAUUAAUUUUAUAAAAUAAAUCUAAUUUUUUUAUUUAAAUCUUCACAAAUUUUAGACAAACUUUUAACGGAUAUAGUCAUGAAUCAAGAGGUACAGUAUUGACAUUUAAAACACGUUGUUGUACAAUCAUAACAAAAGAAAAGGAGUGUUCUAAGACCAUACAUUUUACCAACCACUUGCCUGCCUCUUAAACACAAAAGCUUUAAAGCUGCAAUGAUAUGACAAAACGGGCAUUUAUUUGUUUCUAUCAACUUAACGUACAUGGUAUUAAUAUUUUAGGGUGCACUGAUAUAUGAUUUACAGCAAUGGUCUCAUUCCACAGCAUCUACAUCUGCAUCUGCAUCAUCCAUCUUCUUAUUGGUGAUGAAGCCUAAAACCUGCCAUUGUUGAUAAAUUGAUUUCCCUGUCUGACACCCUGUUUCUUACCCAUGACUGAAGGUCCUCUUUUAUCUCCAACGUAAUUAUUUCAGUCGGCCCCAAUCGCAAUAAUGGUAGGAGAGAGAGACUUUCCAACGCCAUGCAGACCAAACAUGGAAACUGUCUCCACAUUAUCACUCACUCAUAUCCUCUCUAGUUUUUUUUUAAAGGGUUAAUGUGUAAAUUUCUCAGUUCAAAUUGAAAUUUAUACCAUAAUGUUAUAUUUUAAGUUAUAUUUAUCAAUAUAUUUUAAAGCAAAAAAAAAAUUACCACUAUAUUUUAGUUUUAUUCUUAAAAUAUAAUGAUAAAUACUAAUCAAAAUAAUAUAUAGUGACAAAUUUUAAAUGUAUAGUAGUAUUGUUGGGAAGAUGACAAAAUUUUUUGUACAAUAUUUUGGAUUGUAUAUUAGUCUCUUUAUUGAAAAACAAAUAAAUUAAUCCUUCAAAAAGUUAUAAAAUGAUCACUAAACUAUUUGAAUUUCUAUUUCAGUCAAUGUGCAAUUAAAUUGUUAUUGUAUGGUCUUAUCUGUUCGCACUCCUUACACUAAUCAAAAGCUCUCAUUUUCUUUUUUUUUUAUAGUUCAAUUUUUCAUUACAAAUUUGCGAAUCAAAUUUCAAACAAUUUUUUAUUUUUUUAUAUUUUUGACAUUGAUUGUUAGAUUAUAGUUCACUAGCCAAACUUAAAAAAAAAAACUUAACAAUCUAGUGACUUAAAUAAAAACUUUCGAAUAGUUUAAUAACUUAAAUGAAAACUUUUGAAUAGUUUAGUGAUCAUUUUGUAACUUUAUGAAGUUGGGUAACCAAAAUAUAAACUUAAUAAUAGUUUAAUGACCUUGAGUGUAGUUUACCCUUAAUAUAAUAUUAUGUUAGAUUCAAGCUAAUUUUUACAUAAAAAUCAAGUUUACUCUUACAAUGUUCUUUUUUUGGAACACAACUUACGUUUUUCAAAAGGGGAAUUCAAUUUCUAGAAAAAAAUGAUUUAUUUUUUAUUGACUUGUAUCUCAUUUUUUGUUUACCAAAUUAUUUUUUAUGAAACAAAUUUGAAAAAUGUAAAAAAAAUCUGUAAAUAAUUUUUCAUGAAAAUAGAAGCAACUUAAAUUUGAAAAGAAACUCGGCAUAUAAUAUUUACACAAAAUGACACUUAAAACUUGAAAAGUCUCAUUCUUAAUGUCUCUAUCAUACCUAGAGAUGUACAUGGGUCGAACCGGAUCAAGGCUCAACUUAAAAAAAAUGUCAAACCCGGUUCCAAGCAUCUCACACCCAAUAAGCCUAUAUUACGGUUUGAAUAAUAAUAUUUUUUAAAACACACUUUUAUAUUAAUAUUUAUAUGUUUUUAUAAUUAAAAAUUAUUUAACUCAGGUUAGAUAGAUCAAGUUAGGGAAACAUUUUUAUCCAAAUUAAAUCAAACCGAAUUCGGGUGGAUCAUCCAAUUCCUCAACAUGUCUAAUCAUUCAUCAUGAGUCAUGAUUAGAGGUGUUUAUGGGUUGAGUUUAGAUAUUAUAUUAACACACUUUAUACUUACCAAACGUAAUUCAGUUUAAAUUGCUAAUUCAAACGUAAUUUUACUCAAGUUUAUCAAUAUUAAUAAAUUACUAAUUCAAAUCCAUUUUAGGCUUGUACAUGUUAAUUAAAAAAUAAAAUAUAUUUAUAUUAUUUUUAAUUAAUAUUUAUUAAAAUUAUAUAUAUUCAUCUUAACUGUAACAGCCUAAUUUUUAGUGGUGUCGAAAACAGUGAUUCGAGAUCACUAAAUCUGACCAGUGAGUUUUAAAUUUUAAUAAAUAAAUACAUAUGAGUCAAGUAUGAUUAUAGAAGAAUUUUAGAUUAGUGAAUUCUGUGAUUUAAAAAGAAAAUAAUAAGUAAAUUGGGUCUAAAACGAGGUAUUGAAACAUCGAACUCAUAAACCAAGCCAUAAAUAUUUUUAAAAAUAUUUAUAAAGUGUCAUUGAGUUGGGAUUAAAGUUUCGUUAGAAAAUUCUAACGUUUGAAUGGUCAAUUAAUUAAAAAAUACUAAAUUAAGAAUAGUACAAAAUUUAUUAAAUUAUGAUUAAAUAGCUUAAGUGACUAAUAAGGAUGGAUUUAAAAGGCAAUUAGGCCCAAAUUAUAUGGGCUGGACUGUUUGGGCAAGAAAAUCAGCAAGAAAACAAGGAGAAACAAGGGCAAAAUUAGAAAUUUUACAAAUUAAACAUAUAAAACAAAGACAAAAUUGAAAAAUCUAGAUAUUUCUUCAUAAUUCAGCAGCAAAAACACCACAGGAGGUCUGAAACAAGCUGAUUUCUCAUAUUUUUAUACCAUGUGAGUUCAACUCUUGCUUUUCUUUGAAAUUUUUAUGUUUUGUGAUUUUUACAACUAGGUUCAACAAUUGAAUUCAUUAGUUUUUUAUUCCAUGUGUGAUUUUGUAAGUUACCAUGAAUAAGUGAUGGAAGUUUAUGAUGAGUUAUCAUAGAUUUGAAGCUUUAAUUUCAUUAUAUUAUGAUUUUAUUAAGUGAUUUUAGUAGAAAAUGAUUUUUAGGACCUAAUUGUGAAAAAGCUAGGAAUUGGGGUUUUGUACUGAAAUUUUGAAUACUAAAGGCUGUAUAAUAGCCUAAAAUGAUUAGACAAAGUGUUGUUUGAGGACAAAUUUGUUCAAUUGAAGUGUUAAUUGAGUAGGGACUAAAUUGUAAAAACUAUAAAUUUUGGGGUAAACGUAUAAUUUCAAAAAUUGAAGGGUAUAAAUUGCAAAAUGAAUUAGUAUUGAAAUAGAUGCUAAUGAAUGAAAAAAAUAUAUUAUAGAUUGGGAAUCUGAAGAUAAAUAAGAAAAAGAAAAAGUCGCUGAUUAGUUCCUAAAAUAUUACAACUCCUACAAAUUGGCCUAGGUAAGUUCAUACAGCUGAACUUUUAUGAUUAAUUGUAAAUGGGGGAAUGAUAUAAUGUAUUAAUUCGUGUUUUGUAGUUGAAUUAUGAUUAUUAUAAAAAAAAAAGUAAAAAUCAAAAUUUAAGUUCAAAUUAAGGGAUACGCAAGAAUGAGUACGUUUAGUAACCAGUGAUGAAUUAACGAAUAAGUCCAUGGUGGAUCCAUGGUAAAGUGUGGAACGUAGGUAUGGCAUUUCAGUAAAGAAAACCAUACUGAGUUGUGGAACGUAAAUAUGGUAUUAUAGUAAAGAAAACCAUAUUGAGUUGUGGAACGUAGGUAUGAUAUUUCAGUAAAGAAAACCAUACUAAGUUGUGAAAAGUAGGUAUAGUAUUUCAGUGAAGAAAAUCAUACUGAGUUAUAGCAUUGUAAAUGAUUCAAGCAAAUCAUGGCACCGGGCAAACGAAGUACUCAAAUCCAUAAGACGGUCCUUAAUUUGACAAGUAUUUGUAAAUGCAAUUGAAGCUAAAUGUUGGAAAUAAGUUGGUAUCUGAUAUUGAGCUAGAUUGAGUAAAUUCAUUGUUUAAGAUUGUGGUUGGCAAGAAAUAUUGUAUUAUACUUGUUUAUUAUUAUUGUUAGUGAAAUUUUGGUAAGAUUUUAUUAUGAGCCUAUGAACUUACUAAGCUUUCUGUAAGCUUAUAUGCGUGUGUUUAUUGUUUCUUGUAGAUUGACGUAUAUGUGUUCGGAGGAUCAGGUUUACAUCAAGGAUCACACUAUUCAGAUUUACCUCGGUAGAUUUUGUUAAACAACUUUUUAAUUUAUAUGGCAUGCAUAGGGGUUGAAGUAAAAAGUAAUAGUAUGAAUGAUUAAGUAUGCAAAGUAAAUCUGAAUGUGAUGGUUGUGUUAGAUAUUGAAAUAUAUAUGUUUUAGCUUGAAACGGUUGAUUGGUUGGACUUUAUUAGUAUAUAAAUGUGUUUUUGUGUAGGAGGAUAGUAUGAAGGUAAGAAAAGUGGACUUAAAUGGUCUGGUUUUGUGUGUUUGAUUGUGUUUAAGUCUGGUAAUGCCUUGUAUCCUGUUCCAACGUCGGACACGGGUAAAGUGUGUUACAUUAACAUUUUUUAAUGUUUAUAUUAUAAUAUUAUUAUUUACUAUUAUAGAUUUAAUUUUUAUGUAUUAUAAAUUACAUAAUAUAUAAAAAUAAUAGAAUAUAAAAUAUUAUAAAAUUUUAAAAACAAAUAGAAUUAAAUCGAAUAUUAUAUAUUUAAGUUUGAAUUCGAUUUAUAUUUUAAACAAAAUUAAUUAAAUUUAUAAAAUAAAUCUAAAUUUUUUAUUUAAAUCUCCACAAAUUUUAGACAAACUUUCAACGGAUAUAGUCAUGAAUCAAGAGGUAGAGUGAUAGACAUUUAAAACACGUUAUUGUACAAUCAUAACAAAAGAAAAGGAGUGUUCUAAGACCAUAAAUUUUACCAACCACUUGCCUGCCUCUUAAACACAAAAGCUUUAAAGCUGCAAUGAUAUGACAAAACGGGCAUUUAUUUGUUUCUAUCAACUUAACGUACAUGGUAUUAAUAUUUUAGGGUGCACUGAUAUAUGAUUUACAGCAAUGGUCUCAUUCCACAGCAUCUGCAUCUGCAUCUGCAUCUGCAUCAUCCACCUUCUUAUUGGUGAUGAAGCCUAAAACCCGCCAUUGUUGAUAAAUUGAUUUCCCUGUCUGACACCCUGUUUCGUACCCAUGACUGAAGGUCCUCUUUUAUCUCCAACGUAAUUAUUUCAGUCGGCCCCAAUUGCAAUAAUGGUAGGAGAGAGAGACUUUCCAACGCCAUGCAGACCAAACAUGGAAACUGUCUCCACAUUAUCACUCACUCAUAUCCUCUCUAGUUUUUUUUUAAAGGGUUAAUGUGUAAAUUUCGGAGCUCAAAUUGAAAUUUAUACCCUAAUGUUAUAUUUUAAGUUAUAUUUAUCAAUAUACUUUAAAGCAAAAAAAAAAAUUUACCACUAUAUUUUAGUUUUAUUCUUAAAAUAUAAUGAUAAAUACUAAUCAAAAUAAUAUAUAGUGACAAAUUUUAAAUAUACACUAAUAAUAUAAUAAUAAAUUCCCAUUUUAACCCUUUUUUAAGAUUAAUUUUCAAAAAAACAAAUCAAUAAAUUUGAAAAACCUAAUUUUAUGAAUAUCAAAAAUUAAGAUUUAAAUAAUAUAAUAUUAUACAUUGAUACCUUAUUCAAAGGCAUAAGGAAUCUCUAUAAAGUAAAUCGCAUUUCUAUUUUCGGUCUUUAAUUUUUUUUUGUUCAUUUCAUUUUUAAUGUUAUAUGAUCUCAAUUUAAUUCUUUAGAUGUUAAAAGCUAAUGGUUGAAAUAUUCAUCCAUGUUACUACAUGUCAUAAAUAUGAUGCUAUCAUUUAAAAAACCUUUAAAAAUGAAAAAUUACAAAAAAAAUUAUUAAAAUUAUUAAAAUUAUUUAAAAUAGAAAAAUUAUAAAAAUUAUAAAAACUAACAUAAAAAUUUUAACAAGUUUGUUAUUAUUAAGUUUUACAUUCUUCGUGGCCAAAUAAGGUUUUAUAUAUAUAUAUAAACAAUCUAAAAAUAUUAAUUAACUACAAAAUAGUCUAGGUUUUUUAUUGGAAUAUAUUAAAAAAAUAUAAAUAUCGAAAUAGGUUGUCAGAUAGAUUAAUUAUCGAAAUGGUAUGUUUUUUUUAAUGGCGCCUAUCUGACAGGCGCCAAUGAAUUUUUUAUAUUAAUAUUUUUUCUUUUAAUAAAAUAUUAUUUUUUUCCGGAUCAGUAUAUGACCCAUUUUCUAUGAUAUAAUUGUAUCCCUUUUAUCUUGUCGGCAAUAGAUUAAAAUUAAACUUAUUGAUUAAUGUUGGUACCGAGUCAGGUUUAUGUAAUGUAUUUAGAUCAAUUUUUUAAGUUUGGAUUCGGCUCAGCUCAAAAAAUGAAUUUAUUUUUUUGCCCAAAUUUGACUCAAUUUAAUAAAAGUAAAUUCAGGUCUGGCCUAACUCGUUCAUAUUUGAUUUUUUUUAGAUUAGUUUUUAUUUAAAAAUAAAUUUCUAAAAAAUAUAAUACUAAAAAACUUUAAAAUAAAAGUUUUCUAACACAUUAGAAAUACAUUAAAAACUAUUUAUAUUAAAAAUACUAUUAUAAAUAUAAUAAAUAUUUUAUUGUAUUAAAUAUAAUUUUUAAAAUUUUAUAUUUUGGGUUGAGUUACUUAGUUUGGUAAGUUUUUUUUUUAGAUUUUGGGUAAUAGAUUUAAUUGUUAUUGAAUUAGUGAUUUAAUAUAAAUAUAAAUAUAAAUAUAAAUAUUAUUUAACAUAUAUAAUUAAUAUCAUAUUGUUAUAACAUAAUAUACUAGAGUCAAGCCAAGUUCAGACAAAAAAUUAUAUCCAAAUCCCGACUCAUAUAGAAAAUGGGUCAUAUACUGAUCCGGAAAAAAUUAAUAAUAUUUUAUUAAAAGAAAAAAAUUUAAUAUAAAAAAUUCAUUGGCGCCUGUCAGAGAAUCGCCAUUAAAAAGAAAAAAAAUAAUAUAAAAAAUUCAUUAGCUCCUGUCAAAUAGGCACCAUUAAAAAAAAUACCAUUUCGAUAAUUAAUCUAUCUGACAACCUAUUUCGGUAUUUAAUUUUUUUAAUAUAUUCCUAUAAAAACCCAAAUAGUCUUGGAGGAAAAAUUAUAUGCAAAAACGACUCAUUUGUUAUAGUAUUAGUCGGUGCCGUUUAAUCAAUCGGCGAUAUCACUUUCUUUUUUCUCUAAUCCUGAUUAAUCAUCAGUGUUUUAAAAAAAGAUUUUUUUGUACCACCUGACACAAUAGUGGCACUGAACUGAAGUACGAUUAUGUAAAAUGUUUAGAAACCAGAUGAAGUAAUUGCCUGUUUUUGAUUGGUUGGAAAAUAAUUACAAAUAUAAGAUAACAAAAAUAAACUCUUUUCAUUUUUUUAAAAAUAAUAAAAUUAAAAAUAUAUAUAAUAUUCUUAUUUAAAUUAUCCAAAUAUAUCCUUUAAAAAUUUUCUUUAAAUUUAUCUAAAUUUAAAUAUUUUCGUUAAAUUAAAAAUUAUCAAAUAUAAUAUUACUUGAAACCCAAAUACUAGACCAUUUUACCAAUAAAGACCCAUUUCUAACUUUAUUUACGAAAAUAGACCACUUUUUUCAUUAUUUACCGGAAUGAGCUGAAAACACUAAAAUGUGUCCACAAAAUAGUGUUUUAAGGGGAAAUUCUAGCAAAACGUGCCCCUGAGGGAGUAAUUUUGCCAUGUCAGCACAGAAUACACUGACGUGAACGCGCUUUGCUAACGUGGCAAAAUCGCUCCCUCAGGGACGCACUUUAGCCCGUGUUUUUCUAGUGUUAGGGCUAUUUGCAUGUUUAGUGCCUAAAGUUUGUGGGUUUAGGUUUUAGGAUUAUAGUGUUAGUAUUUUGUUAAUAUAAUUUAGGAUUUUAUUUAUUUAAAGUUUAAGAAAUUUUAAAAAUAAAUUAGGGUUAUAUGAAGUAGCGAUGUUGUUAAAUGUAUAGUAGUAUUGUUGGGAAUAUCACAAAAUUUUUUGUACUAUAUUUUGGAUUGUAUAUGAGUCUCUUUAUUGAAAAACAAAUAAAUUAAUUCUUCAAAAAGUUAUAAAAUGAUUACUAAAUUAUUUGAGUUUCCAUUUCAGUCAAUGGGCAAUUAAAUUAUUAUUGUAUAGCCUUAUCUGUUCGCACUCCUUAUACUAAUCGAAAGCUCCCAUUUUCCUUAUUUUUUUUAUAGUUUAAUUUUUCAUUACAAAUUUGCGAAUCAAAAUUCAAACAAAUUUUUUUAUUUUUUCUUAUAUUUUUGACAUUGAUUGUUAGAUUGUAGUUCACUAGUCAAACUUAAAAAAAAAACAACUUAACAAUCUAAUAACUUAAAUAAAAACUUUCGAAUAGUUUAGAAACUUAAAUGAAAACUUUUGAAUAGUUUAGUGAUCAUUUUGUAACUUUAUGAAGUUGGGUAACCAAAAUAUAAACUUAAUAAUAGUUUAAUGACAUUGAGUGUAGUUUACUCUUAAUAUAAUAUUAUGUUAGAUUCAAGUUAAUAUAAUAUUACUCUUUAAAUGUUCUUUUUUUGGAAAACAACUUAUGUUUUUCAAAAGAGGAAUUCGAUUCGUAGAAAAAAAUGAUUUAUUUUUUAUUGACUUGUAUCUCAUUUUUGUUUAUUAAAUUAUUUUUUAUGAAAAAAAUUUGAAAAAUGUAAAAAAAAAUAAAUCUAUAAAUCAUUUUUCAUGAAGUAGAAACAACUUAAAUUUGAAAGGAAACUUAGCAUAUAAUAUUUACACAAAAUGACACUUAAAACUUGAAAAGUUUCAUUCUUAAUGUCUUUAUAAUACCUAGAGAUAUACAUGGGUCGAACCAGAUCAAGGCUCAACUUAAAAAAAAUGUCAAACCCGGUUCCAAGCAUCUCACACCCAAUAAGCCUACAUUAUUGUUUGAAUAAUAGUACUUUUUAAAACAGACUUUUAGGGUAAGAGAUUAUGGAUGGUGUAGAGGUUGUCGUUGAUGAAUCAAAUGUGACCUAAGUGGGGAAUUUUUUUUUUCUUUAUUCUUCUUUUUCUACCACUGCAAGUUAAUGGGGGAUGCUAUAGAGACUACCGUUUCCACUUGGGAUGCCAACAUGGCAAGUUAAUUGGCUACCUCAGCUUUCUGUUAUGUCUAUAACGGUAGUAACCGAUUUGUCAUUUUUUUAAAGUUGAGCGACUGAAUUGAACCACAGUGACUGUUUUACCAGCUACAUCAAAGUUGAGUGACUGUUGGUGUAAUUUACCCUUAAAUUAAUUACUCAUUAUAGAUUUGUUGAAUCAAAUAUAUUUUCUUAUUAAUUCUACUACAGUAAUGUUUUUAUGAUUUUAGUAGUAGUAGAAUUGAGUUUAGAAACUAAUUUAAUUAAUUAAUUAAUAUUUAUUUAUUUUGGAAAAUAAAAAUAAUUAUUGGAUUGGAUUAAAUUAUAAAGUGUUAGGCCAAAAGUUAAAUAAACACAUAUAAUUAAACCCAAUACAUAAUAGGCCUAUCUAAACCCAUAUGUGAACACAAGGGGCGACAACCCUAAUAAAAUUAACAAGGUGUGUCACGCCUCCUUGCUCUAAUUAGAGUGGGAGCAUAUUUUUAUUUAAAUAACAUUAUUUGUUAAGGGCUUGUUCAACUAGGGUUCUUGUACCUCUCUUGUAAAUAGAUAGCAUCAGUUGACUUAAAAACACACUUCAUAAAUUAUCUAGUUAUCAUUAUUUUGCUAGAAAGUAGUGAGAAUUUAUUUACUUAAAAUAAAUUUUAUUUUCGGAGAAUUUCGAUAUAUACCAAUUUUUAUGGAGAGAACUAACUUUCCAACUGGAAGUAAGUAAAUCAUUUUAUUUUCUAUUAUUUGGUUCGUGUUACUCAAACUCAUACUCGAUGUAAUUUGUGGAACAAGGAUAGCAGAGAAUGUCAUUUAGUUGAAAGCCGGGAUCGACAUGAAUCUUCUUUCACAAUGCACAUGUAUGAUAGGAUCGACAUGGGUCGAACUUAGGCAUGAUAUUAACACGUUUUGUACUUGCCUAAGCGCAAUCCAACUCAAAAUAUGAGCCUAAAAUUUUAUUCAAAUUUACUAAUAUUUAUAAAUUGAUAACUCAAGCUCAUUUUAGACUUAUCCAUUUUAUUUUUAAAUAAAUUAAAAUUUAUUUAUAUUAAUUUUAAUUUAAUAUUUAUUAAAAUUUAAUAUUUAAUCAUAUUAAUAUUCUUUUUAUUUAUAUUAUAAUUAUAUUAUUUACAAUUAUAAUAAAUUUAAUUUUAUAUAACUCGGUUGAUAUUUUAAGCGAAAUAAAUGUUAGAGAAACUUUGAUCAGAGAUGACAUUUAAAAGACACUGCAGUAUGAUAACAAAAGAGAAGGUGGACUGUUCUAAGACCAUACAUUUUGCCUACCACUUACCUGCCACUUGAACACUAAAGCUUCAAAGCUGCAAUGAUAUGACAACACGACACGGCCAUUGAUAUAUGAUAAAAAUAUAAUUUUUAUUUUAAUCUUAUUAUUAUAUUUGAAGAUAAUACUAUAAACUACACAAGAAAUUUUAAAAAAUCCCAAAAUAAUGUCAUACAUUUAGUACACAAAACUCACUUCAAUUAAUUUUACCGAAGCAACUCAUCUUUCAUUUCUUCUCUCCAUUUCGAUUCCUGGACUCGGUAUCUUGUUGCUUUAAUUUUCUGGGUUAGAAAUCUCUUCUUUUCUUCUUUAUUUUCAAUGAUAUUUUUUUUCAAGUUAUUUCCUAACAUUUCAAACCUUUCAGAUGGCAGGAGCAAUGAUGGCAGAAGUUCUUUUGGGUGCUAUUUUGAAUGAAGCGGUGUCUAAAGCGAAUUCAAUUGCCACUAACCAAAUCAGCCGUAUAUCGAAUUUCAAGAAGGAGCUGAGAAGACUGGGCGACUCACUAGAAAUAAUGGAAGCUUUUUUGCAAGAUGCAGAGGAAAUGCAAACAAAGAAGGAAGCAGUGAAGCUUUGGUUGCAGAGGCUCAAAGAUGUUGCUGAUGAGGCUGCUGAUGUCCUUGAUGAGUUUGACUAUGAAAUUCUCCGAAGGAAACUGAAGAUUCGGAGCCAAAUUCGAAGGAAGGUAGUCGACUUCCUUUCUUCUGACAAUUCCAUUUUAUUUCGUCUCAAGAUGGCUAAAAAAAUUAAGGACAUCCUUGAAACACUGGAUGGCCUUAACAAACAGGCCAACGAAUUUGGUCUUCAGCAGAGAGCUACAGAACAUGUGUCUCCUAGAAGAUCAAAUGUGGAGACGUUCUCUGUCAUGGAUGACUCGCCCAUUGUUGGAAGGGAAAAUGAUGUCUCAAAGGUGGUUGACCUGUUAGUCAAUCCUAAAGAUGAGCAGGUUGUUUCUGUUGUACCUAUAGUAGGUAUGGCAGGUCUUGGCAAAACUGCAUUGGCAAAGCUGGUGUAUAAUGAUCUGCGUGUGAAAAGGCAUUUUGAUGUCAAAUCCUGGGUCUGUGUUUCUGAUCAUUUUGAUGUCAAAAAGAUUUUAGGGGCGAUGUUUGAACAGCUUACUGGUGAUAGCCGUACCUCAAUGCCAGAAAAUAUGGAUGCAAUGAUUAUGAAGCUCAAGAAGAAGAUUGAACAGGCCAAAGGAGAAAAAGAUCAGAUCAAGUAUCUUAUUGUACUUGAUGAUGUGUGGGAUGUUAAGAAAUGGGAGGAUCUAAAGCUUUGUCUGAAAGGAAUCAGUACAAAUGGCGGGAAUGGAGUUAUUGUGACAACACGCAAAGAAGAUGUAGGAUCAACAGUGCAAGCACUUUCGAAUCAAAGGCAUCACCCAGGAAGACUAGAAGAUGAAGAAUGCUGGUCCGUAAUUGAACAACUAGCAUUGACACCCUUUCCAAUGUCUCACGAAUUAGAGCUUAUUGGAAAGGAGAUUGCUAUGCAGUGUCGAGGUCUGCCAUUGUUAGCUAAAGUUAUUGGAGGGACAAUGCGCAAAGAAAGGAGCCACGGCACAUGGUUGGAAAUUCAAGAAAGUGGAGUAUGGGGUUCAGCGGACAGUGAGUUAGUGGAAAGUGUGUUAAAAUUAAGUUUUGAUCGCUUGCCUUCUCCAUCUUUGAAGAAGUGUUUUGCGUACUGUGCCAUGUUUCCGAAAGAUUAUUGCUUUGAAACAGAGGAAUUGAAGCAACUGUGGAUGGCUGAAGGAUUUCUUGGCAGCCCUAUGGCAAUGGUGGAUAUUGGUGACAAAUACUUGAAUGAGUUGUUAUCAAAUUCCUUAUUUCAAGAUGUCGAGAAGGACAAAUUCGGGAAUAUUCUCACAUUCAAGAUGCACGACUCGGUGCAUGAUCUAUCUUUGUCUGUGUCAAAGUUUGAUACUUUGUUUUUUCAAGAGAAAUCCAGUCUCACCUCAAAAGAGUGUUCUCAUAUUCGUCAUCUCAAUGUUGGGUGCGAUGGGGAAUCAUUACCAGAAAUUUUAACAGCGGUUGCUCCGAAAUUAUACUCGUUGUUUUCAGAGAUUGAUGUGUUCAAGAAACUAUCAAAAAGCUUCACAAGAUUAAGAGUCCUAAAGUUUGUUGGCGCUGCUAAUAUUUGUGAGUUGCCAGAUCCCCUUGGAGAAUUGAAGCACUUGAGGUAUUUGGAUGUCUCAAGGACUUCUAUCAAAGCACUGCCGAAGUCCGCAACCAAACUUUACAAUCUGCAAACAUUGAGGCUCUUGGGUUUACUGAGACUCACACUUCCAGAUGGAUUGGAAAUUUUGACAAGCUUGAAGCACUUGUAUUUUGGUAAAAAAGAACAUCAACUAGUUAAUAUUGGAAACCUAACUUGUCUUCAAACAUUACCCAUAUUUUUUGUGGGAUCAGAAAGGGGGCAUUCGAUUAAGGAGUUAGGAUCCCUAGACGAACUGCGUGGAGAAUUGAAGAUAUGCCAUCUUGAGGGUGUUAGAGACGAACAAGAGGCUAAAGGAGCAAAUCUGCACCGUAAAGAAAAAUUAUUCAAGGUGAUAUUUGAUUUUGGACGGUGUGAUAGUGGGAGUAGUGGUUAUAACAGUGAGGAAGUGAUGGAAGGUCUCCAACCACACUCAAAGUUGCAAAGCUUAACUGUUUCGCUUUACAGAGGUGAAAGCUUUCCCUCGUGGAUGUUAAGACCUGUUGGUGAUUCUAAUACUAAUCUGUUUUUGCUUAACAAUUUGAUGGAGCUGAAGUUUUUCUAUUGCAAGAACUGUGAAAGUCUUCCACCUCUGGGCCAAUUGCACAAUCUCCAGUAUCUUGAGUUGAUAAAGCUGACGAAAGUGAAACGCAUGGGUAAUGAAUUUUAUUGCAACGAAAGUGUUGAUGGUAUGAAUAAGGUGAUCAAGGUGUUUCCUGCAUUGAAAAAAUUCACCUUAAGGUUUAUGGACAGUCUAGAAGAAUGGACAGGAAUGGCGGAAACAAAGAUGAUCAUGUUUCCUUGCUUGGAGCGGCUGGAGAUUACGAGGUGUCCCUUGUUGAAAAGUGUUCCACUAACGGGACAAUGCUCAUCUCUUCAAAAGCUUCACAUUUCCAGUUGUGAAAAAUUAAGCAAGAUUGGAGAUGGAUUAUCUACCUCCACUUGUCUCAAAAAAUUACAUCUAGGCAAUUGUCCUGAUUUAAGUUCGAUCCCAAAUUUGGAAGGAUUUUCCUCUCUUCAAGAUCUGUCAGUUUGUGGGUGCCUCAAAUUGGAAGUUCUUCCAAUAACUGGAGGAUGUUCAUCUCUUGAAGAGCUGGAGAUUACGAGGUGUCCCUUGUUGAAAAGUGUUCCACUAACGGGACAAUGCUCAUCUCUUCAAAAGCUUCACAUUUGGGAUUGUGAAAAAUUAAGCAAGAUUGGAGAUGGAUUAUCUACCUCCACUUGUCUCAAAAAAUUACAUCUAGGCAAUUGUCCUGAUUUAAGUUCGAUCCCAAAUUUGGAAGGAUUUUCCUCUCUUCAAGAUCUGUCAGUUUGGGGGUGCCUCAAAUUGGAAGUUCUUCCAAUAACGGGACAAUGUUAUUCUCUUGAAAAGCUUCGCAUUUGCGAUUGUGAAAAAUUAAGCAAGAUUGGAGAUGGAUUAUCUACCUCCACUUGUCUCAAAAAAUUAAAUCUAAUCAUUUGUCCUGAUUUAAGUUCGAUCCCAAAUUUGGAAGGAUUUUCCUCUCUUCAAUAUCUGUCAGUUCGAUGUUGCAAGAAAUUGGAAGUUCUUCCAAUAACCGGAGGAUGUUCAUCUCUUGAAAAGCUUCGCAUUUCCAGUUGUGAAAAAUUAAGCAAGAUUGGAGAUGGAUUAUCUACCUCCACUUGUCUCAAAAAAUUAGAUCUAGUAGAUUGUCCUGAUUUAAGUUCGAUCCCAAAUUUGGAAGGAUUUUCCUCUCUUCAAGAUCUGUCAGUUUGGAGGUGCCUCAAAUUGGAAGUUCUUCCAAUAACCGGAGGAUGUUCAUCUCUUGAAGAGCUUUCCAUUUACAGUUGUGAAAAAUUAAGCAAGAUUGGAGAUGGAUUAUCUACCUCCACUUGUCUCAAAAAAUUAAAUCUAGCAGAUUGUCCUGAUUUAAGUUCGAUCCCAAAUUUGGAAGGAUUUUCCUCUCUUCAAUAUCUGUCAGUUCGAAGGUGCGACAAAUUGGAAGUUCUUCCAAUAACAGCACCACUGUCAUCGCUUAAAAAAAUGUUGAUAGGUGAUUGCCCUAAUUUGAGGCCCAUUCCAAGUUUAGAUGGACUCUCUUCUCUCACAGAAUUAGAAAUUGGGAAAGUAGGCGAAGGAUGGAGUCGUCUGCUACCAAAUAUGUUGCAAUCCAACGUUUCCCUUUGCAGUCUAACAAUAUUAAAUAUUCCUGAUCUGAUAUGGAUUCAAGAUGACAGCCUUGGUAGGCUUAACUGCUUGAGAGAAUUAGCUAUCGGUGGUUUCUCAGAAAAGCUACAAGAAUUCCCGGGGUCCAGUUCCAUUCGAUAUCUGAGUGCCUCCCUUCUAGUUCUAAAACUGACUGGUUGGGAAAAGCUAAAGAGUCUUCCUCACCAACUUCAGUUCUUGACUGCCCUCGAAGAAUUGACGAUAGAAGGGUUUCAAGGAGUAGAAGCCUUUCCAGAGUGGUUGGGAAAUCUCUCUUCUCUGAAGCGUCUAUAUUUGAGUGGUUUUGGAAAGCUAAAGAGUCUUCCUCACCAACUUCAUCUCCCCAGUACCCUUGAAGAGUUGACUAUUGACAAUUUUCAUGAAAUAGAAGCCUUGCCAGACUCGUUCAGAAAUCUCUCUUCUCUAGGGUGUCUGAGUAUCCAGUUCUGUGAUAAGCUCAUGUACUUGCCUUCUGUAGAUGUUAUGCGAAGCCUCUCCAAAUUAAUAAGAAUGAACAUUAAAGGGUGUCCUCUAUUAGAGACAAGAUGUGAGCGGGAGAGUGGCCCUGAAUGGUCCAAGAUUUCCCACAUUCCACAUGUAUAUAUUAAUCAUCGGAGGUAAGUUCAGUUACUUGAACCACAACUCUGCAUCUUUUGGCUUUUGAUAUAAAAUAUACUAAUCCUCUCUUGAUACUUUUUAUAGUUAUACCGUUUGUUCUUCUCAUCCUAAGUUACUUGAUUUUGUCUCAUAUAAAUCCUUCUUUUAAAAUUUUUUUGGCUUUUGUGGCAUAAUGUUGCAGGACUAAUUGGGGCAUCAAAUCUGUUAGAAAAUGGACUGCAAAGCAACAAACAAGUUGAUAUGCAACUUGGUUUCAUAAUGAUAGCUAUAAUGCUUUCAUCUUUUGCUUUCAUAAUGAUAGCCAAAUUUGGUGGAGUAGGUAGUAUUUGGUGAUGUAUUUGACUAUAAAUGUAUUGUUUUUCUAGUUGAAUGAAUGAGCUGAAUGAGCUAUCAGCCAUUAGCUCCCUUGCAGCACGUUUGUGAGCAAGUAAAUUGUUUUUGUUUCUUCCUCCUUUGUUCUUUGUCUUGUUUUCUUUCUUUUUGCUGCUGCCAAUGUAGGAUCAACAGUGCAAGCACUUUCGAAUCAAAGGCAUCACCCAGGAAGACUAGAAGAUGAAGAAUGCUGGUCCGUAAUUGAACAACUAGCAUUGACACCCUUUCCAAUGUCUCACGAAUUAGAGCUUAUUGGAAAGGAGAUUGCUAUGCAGUGUCGAGGUCUGCCAUUGUUAGCUAAAGUUAUUGGAGGGACAAUGCGCAAAGAAAGGAGCCACGGCACAUGGUUGGAAAUUCAAGAAAGUGGAGUAUGGGGUUCAGCGGACAGUGAGUCAGUGGAAAGUGUGUUAAAAUUAAGUUUUGAUCGCUUGCCUUCUCCAUCUUUGAAGAAGUGUUUUGCGUACUGUGCCAUGUUUCCGAAAGAUUAUUGCUUUGAAACAGAGGAAUUGAAGCAACUGUGGAUGGCUGAAGGAUUUCUUGGCAGCCCUAUGGCAAUGGUGGAUAUUGGUGACAAAUACUUGAAUGAGUUGUUAUCAAAUUCCUUAUUUCAAGAUGUCGAGAAGGACAAAUUCGGGAAUAUUCUCACAUUCAAGAUGCACGACUCGGUGCAUGAUCUAUCUUUGUCUGUGUCAAAGUUUGAUACUUUGUUUUUUCAAGAGAAAUCCAGUCUCACCUCAAAAGAGUGUUCUCAUAUUCGUCAUCUCAAUGUUGGGUGCGAUGGGGAAUCAUUACCAGAAAUUUUAACAGCGGUUGCUCCGAAAUUAUACUCGUUGUUUUCAGAGAUUGAUGUGUUCAAGAAACUAUCAAAAAGCUUCACAAGAUUAAGAGUCCUAAAGUUUGUUGGCGCUGCUAAUAUUUGUGAGUUGCCAGAUUCCCUUGGAGAAUUGAAGCACUUGAGGUAUUUGGAUGUCUCAAGGACUUCUAUCAAAGCACUGCUGAAGUCCGCAACCAAACUUUACAAUCUGCAAACAUUGAGGCUCUUGGGUUUACUGAGACUCACACUUCCAGAUGGAUUGGAAAUUUUGACAAGCUUGAAGCACUUGUAUUUUGAUAAAAAAGAACAUCAACUAGUUAAUAUUGGAAACCUAACUUGUCUUCAAACAUUACCCAUAUUUUUUGUGGGAUCAGAAAGGGGGCAUUCGAUUAAGGAGUUAGGAUCCCUAGACGAACUGCGUGGAGAAUUGAAGAUAUGCGAUCUUGAGGGUGUUAGAGACGAACAAGAGGCUAAAGGAGCAAAUCUGCACCGUAAAGAAAAAUUAUUCAAGGUGAUAUUUGAUUUUGGACGGUGUGAUCAAAAAUUAUUCAAGGUGAUAUUUGAUUUUGGACGGUGUGAUAGUGGGAGUAGUGGUUAUAACAGUGAGGAAGUGAUGGAAGGUCUCCAACCACACUCAAAGUUGCAAAGCUUAACUGUUUCGCUUUACAGAGGUGAAAGCUUUCCCUCGUGGAUGUUAAGACCUGUUGGUGAUUCUAAUACUGAUUUGUUUUUGCUUAACAAUUUGAUGGAGCUGAAGUUUUUCUAUUGCAAGAACUGUGAAAGUCUUCCACCUCUGGGCCAAUUGCACAAUCUCCAGUAUCUUGAGUUGAUAAUGCUGACGAAAGUGAAACGCAUGGAUAAUGAAUUUUAUUGCAACGAAAGUGUUGAUGGUAUGAAUAAGGUGAUCAAGGUGUUUCCUGCAUUGAAAAAAUUCACCUUAUGGUUUAUGGACAGUCUAGAAGAAUGGACAGGAAUGGCGGAAACAAAGAUGAUCAUGUUUCCUUGCUUGGAGCGGCUGGAGAUUACGACGUGUCCCUUGUUGAAAAGUGUUCCACUAACGGGACAAUGUUCAUCUCUUGAAAAGCUUCGCAUUUGCGAUUGUGAAAAAUUAAGCAAGAUUGGAGAUGGAUUAUCUACCUCCACUUGUCUCAAAGAAUUAGAUCUAGCAGAUUGUCCUGUUUUAAGUUCGAUCCCAAAUUUGGAAGGAUUUUCCUCUCUUCAAUAUCUGUCAGUUCGAUGUUGCAAGAAAUUGGAAGUUCUUCCAAUAACUGGAGGAUGUUCAUCUCUUGAAAAGCUUCGCAUUUGCGAUUGUGAAAAAUUAAGCAAGAUUGGAGAUGGAUUAUCUACCUCCACUUGUCUCAAAGAAUUAGAUCUAGCAGAUUGUCCUGAUUUAAGUUCGAUCCCAAAUUUGGAAGGAUUUUCCUCUCUUCAAUAUCUGUCAGUUCGAUGUUGCAAGAAAUUGGAAGUUCUUCCAAUAACCGGAGGAUGUUCAUCUCUUGAAAAGCUUCGCAUUUACGAUUGUGAAAAAUUAAGCAAGAUUGGAGAUGUAUUAUCUACCUCCACUUGUCUCAAAGAAUUAGAUCUAGUCAAUUGUCCUGAUUUAAGUUCGAUCCCAAAUUUGGAAGGAUUUUCCUCUCUUCAAGAUCUGUCAGUUUGGAGGUGCCUCAAAUUGGAAGUUCUUCCAAUAACCGGAGGAUGUUCAUCUCUUGAAGAGCUUUCCAUUUACAGUUAGUGAAAAAUUAAGCAAGAUUGGAGAUGGAUUAUCUACCUCCACUUGUCUCAAAGAAUUAGAUCUAGCAGAUUGUCCUGAUUUAAGUUCGAUCCCAAAUUUGGAAGGAUUUUCCUCUCUUCAAUAUCUGUCAGUUCCAUGUUGCAAGAAAUUGGAAGUUCUUCCAAUAACCGGAGGAUGUUCAUCUCUUGAAAAGCUUCGCAUUUGCGAUUGUGAAAAAUUAAGCAAGAUUGGAGAUGGAUUAUCUACCUCCACUUGUCUCGAAGAAUUACAUCUAGCAGAUUGUCCUGAUUUAAGUUCGAUCCCAAAUUUGGAAGGAUUUUCCUCUCUUUAAUAUCUGUCAGUUCGAUGUUGCAAGAAAUUGGAAGUUCUUCCAAUAACCGGAGGAUGUUCAUCUCUUGAAAAGCUUCGCAUUUGCGAUUGUGAAAAAUUAAGCAAGAUUGGAGAUGGAUUAUCUACCUCCACUUGUCUCAAAGAAUUAGAUCUAGCAGAUUGUCCUGAUUUAAGUUCGAUCCCAAAUUUGGAAGGAUUUUCCUCUCUUCAAUAUCUGUCAGUUCGAUGUUGCAAGAAAUUGGAAGUUCUUCCAAUAACCGGAGGAUGUUCAUCUCUUGAAAAGCUUCGCAUUUACGAUUGUGAAAAAUUAAGCAAGAUUGGAGAUGGAUUAUCUACCUCCACUUGUCUCAAAGAAUUAGAUCUAGUAGAUUGUCCUGAUUUAAGUUCGAUCCCAAAUUUGGAAGGAUUUUCCUCUCUUCAAUAUCUGUCAGUUCGAUGGUGCGACAAAUUGGAAGUUCUUCCAAUAACAGCACCACUGUCAUCGCUUAAAAAAAUGUUGAUAGGUGAUUGCCCUAAUUUGAGGCCCAUUCCAAGUUUAGAUGGACCCUCUUCUCUCACAGAAUUAGAAAUUGAGAAAGUAGGCGAAGGAUGGAGUCGUCUGCUACCAAAUAUGUUGCAAUCCAACGUUUCCCUUUGCAGUCUAACAAUAUUAAAUAUUCCUGAUCUGAUAUGGAUUCAAGAUGACAGCCUUGGUAGGCUUAACUGCUUGAGAGAAUUAGCUAUCGGUGGUUUCUCAGAAAAGCUACAAGAAUUCCCGGGGUCCAGUUCCAUUCGAUAUCUGAGUGCCUCCCUUCUAGUUCUAAAACUGACUGGUUGGGAAAAGCUAAAGAGUCUUCCUCACCAACUUCAGUUCUUGACUGCCCUCGAAGAAUUGACGAUAGAAGGGUUUCAAGGAGUAGAAGCCUUUCCAGAGUGGUUG
This 29709-nucleotide long non-coding RNA is filed under the name Gossypium barbadense (sea-island cotton). RNAcentral's name for it is "long non-coding RNA (GBAR_LNC015171)". The record is from RNAcentral. Lineage: Eukaryota; Viridiplantae; Streptophyta; Magnoliopsida; Malvales; Malvaceae.